CGUGUAGGCGGAUAUAUAAGUCAGAAGUGAAAUCCAAUAGCUUAACUAUUGAACUGCUUUUGAAACUGUAUAUCUGGAAUGUGGGAGAGGUAGAUGGAAUUUCUGGUGUAGGGGUAAAAUCCGUAGAGAUCAGAAGGAAUACCGAUUGCGAAGGCGAUCUACUGGAACAUUAUUGACGCUGAGACGCGAAAGCGUGGGGAGCAAACA
RNAcentral lists this ribosomal RNA (207 nucleotides) under uncultured bacterium. Its description in RNAcentral is "partial 16S ribosomal RNA". It matches the Rfam family "Bacterial small subunit ribosomal RNA", at positions 568 to 774 of the family's 1533-position model. The record is from RNAcentral.